This 72-nucleotide transfer RNA is filed under the name Spirochaeta sp. RNAcentral describes it as "tRNA-Gln". It matches the Rfam family "tRNA". Rfam says of the family: Transfer RNA (tRNA) molecules are approximately 80 nucleotides in length. Their secondary structure includes four short double-helical elements and three loops (D, anti-codon, and T loops). Further hydrogen bonds mediate the characteristic L-shaped molecular structure. tRNAs have two regions of fundamental functional importance: the anti-codon, which is responsible for specific mRNA codon recognition, and the 3' end, to which the tRNAs corresponding amino acid is attached (by aminoacyl-tRNA synthetases). tRNAs cope with the degeneracy of the genetic code in two manners: having more than one tRNA (with a specific anti-codon) for a particular amino acid; and 'wobble' base-pairing, i.e. permitting non-standard base-pairing at the 3rd anti-codon position. Lineage: Bacteria; Pseudomonadati; Spirochaetota; Spirochaetia; Spirochaetales; Spirochaetaceae. The record is from RNAcentral. RNAcentral also lists the same sequence under 1 other name.
UGCCCGAUGGUGUAAUUGGUAACACACGUGAUUCUGGUUCAUGCGUUGAGGGUUCAAGUCCUUCUCGGGCAG